UACGGAGGGGGCUAGCGUUGUUCGGAAUUACUGGGCGUAAAGCGCGCGUAGGCGGCGGUUUAAGUCGGGGGUGAAAUCCCGGGGCUCAACCCGGGAACUGCCUCCGAGACUGGACGUCUGGAGGACGGAAGAGGCGGGCGGAAUGCCGGGUGUAGAGGUGAAAUGCGUAGAUAUUCGGCGGAACACCAGUGGCGAAGGCGGCCCUCUGGUCCGGUACUGACGCUGAAGCGCGAAAGCGUGGGGAGCAAACAGG
Molecule: ribosomal RNA, 253 nt
Filed under: uncultured bacterium
Lineage: Bacteria
Description: partial 16S ribosomal RNA
Rfam family: Bacterial small subunit ribosomal RNA
Source: RNAcentral